This 569-nucleotide ribosomal RNA is filed under the name Gracilibacillus sp. SCULCB PT-19. RNAcentral's name for it is "bacterial SSU rRNA". It matches the Rfam family "Bacterial small subunit ribosomal RNA", at positions 95 to 649 of the family's 1533-position model. The record is from RNAcentral. Lineage: Bacteria; Bacillati; Bacillota; Bacilli; Caryophanales; Bacillaceae.
GCGGCGGACGGGUGAGUAACACGUGGGCAACCUGCCUGUAAGACUGGGAUAACUCCGGGAAACCGGGGCUAAUACCGGAUAAUACUUUCUUCCACAUGGAGGGAAGUUGAAAGAUGGCUCCGGCUAUCACUUACAGAUGGGCCCGCGGUGCAUUAGCUAGUUGGUGAGGUAACGGCUCACCAAGGCAACGAUGCAUAGCCGACCUGAGAGGGUGAUCGGCCACACUGGGACUGAGACACGGCCCAGACUCCUACGGGAGGCAGCAGUAGGGAAUCUUCCGCAAUGGACGAAAGUCUGACGGAGCAACGCCGCGUGAACGAAGAAGGUUUUCGGAUCGUAAAGUUCUGUUGUUAGGGAAGAACAAGUACCGUUCAAAUAGGGCGGUACCUUGACGGUACCUAUCGAGGAAGCCCCGGCUAACUACGUGCCAGCAGCCGCGGUAAUACGUAGGGGGCAAGCGUUGUCCGGAAUUAUUGGGCGUAAAGCGCGCGUAGGCGGUUUCUUAAGUCUGAUGUGAAAUCUUGCGGCUCAACCGCAAGCGGUCAUUGGAAACUGGGGAACUUGAGUAC